GACUUGUCAAGAACUAAUCUGUUUCCCCUCCCUCUGUUUUUCUAUCUCUGUUGCUCCCAUUUGAACAGAAGACUUUGUUGUCACAAACCAGAAACCUUUCAGACAAGUGGUGUGAAGACCAUGAACAAAAGGAAGCAGUGUCCAGAAAGGUUUAGGAUCCUCUGGAUGUCUUAGGGCCCACCUGAUGGAGACCCAAUUGCCCAAGAGAGCAGGAGUGCAGAUGACUUGCUGUUACUUCUCAUCCAAAAGCAUGGAGUUAUCUUCCAUGAGUAGUUCACAGCAGGUCACAGCUGGCUACCAGAAUGCACAGAUACACCGGUAUGUCACAUUUGCAGACCUUACAGCACCUUAUGCGCUUC
Molecule: long non-coding RNA, 359 nt
Organism: Zonotrichia albicollis (white-throated sparrow)
Lineage: Eukaryota; Metazoa; Chordata; Aves; Passeriformes; Passerellidae
Source: RefSeq, a predicted model, not a curated record